UUUACGUGUUUGAUAAGGCCAUAUUAGAAUAUUGUAUAGUGUGUGAAAAGUCUAUUAUAAUAACCUUUUCAAUUUUCUGUUUUCCAAGCUUGUCCCUUAGAUCUCCCGCCGCUACUUGUAUUUGCGAGGGAAAAAAUCGUGGCUUCUUUUUUAUGCCAGAUCAAAGGACACACAAUUGCCAGCCUUACGAUUCGGCUUUCGGAGCUCGCACGGAUCAAAUCUCAGGCGAUUCUCAACUUUUUAUAUUCUCAUAUCGAUAUGAGUUCGACACAUCAAGGAGGUCAAGAGCAAGGAUUGAAGAUCAAGGCCAUUGGAACGUACGUAGCAGACUGUUUAUUUGUCCGAUUAACAUUUUGCGUUGUAUCAACAUUCUAGGUACAAUUAAUAAAUAGAUGUUUUAAUUUUAGACAGUCAAUCUGUAAACGUUGAUCACCAAGAGAUUUUGUAUUGUACUGUGUAAUGUUGAUAUAUUAGCAUAGUGAUUUUGGUCAUGGGAAAUUUGGAGGUUGUAUUUAUAUAACCCGUGAAAAAGUAUCAUGUGUAUUAUUUUA
This is a long non-coding RNA of Salvia miltiorrhiza (redroot sage), 551 nucleotides long. RefSeq lists it as uncharacterized. The record is from RefSeq and is a predicted model, not a curated record. The transcript is spliced from 2 exons. Lineage: Eukaryota; Viridiplantae; Streptophyta; Magnoliopsida; Lamiales; Lamiaceae.